Long non-coding RNA from Oreochromis aureus, 1357 nucleotides. The record is from Ensembl. NCBI's taxonomy places the organism in Eukaryota, Metazoa, Chordata, Actinopteri, Cichliformes, Cichlidae.
UCUUUUAGCCCCUGUUUGUUUUAUAUUAUAUAUAUAUUGUUUUAAUAUUAUAUUUAAUAUUUACAUUGUAUUGCAAAAAAACCCCAAAAUAAGUUAAAAUGAAUUAAUGAAUACUGACUAAUUAAACCUUUGUUAUUUUUCCACCAGAAAUGGACGAUAUAAUUAGAAGUGUCCUGAAUGACGAAAAAAAAAGAACUGGAAAAGAUACACAACUUUGUGUGCAUGUGUCACAAUGCCAGGAGGACCCACUCAGUGUUGUGUUAGAAAAAUUGAACUCAUUAACCCUUCAUGGACAUUAUACAUGUUUAAAUGUGGCCUCAGGUAAAGACAGGAAAAGAGACUAUUACAAAUUCAACUGCAUCAGAGCUGGAAAAAAAAGUCGAAACAGCUACAGAGCAGUGGGCUGUAAGGCCUAUGUUUCAUUUAAAGUACUCAAAUGUUGGAAAGACCACACAGUCAUCGUGCAGCGUACAUAUGAUAAGCAUGAUGGGCAUGAUCCUUCGGACCCAAAAGACGCACAUUUCAACAAUAUUUCCAGUGAUUUGAGGAGGAAGAUUGAGGAACUGCUUUCCCUUGGAACUAAGCCAGCCAUCAUACUAACCGAAUGUCAUAAAUGGGCCAAAGAACAUGGACACAGAGAUCUUCACAACAGAGAGCAUUUUGUCACACCACAUGACAUUGACAGUGUUAGAACCUGCAUGAUGAGGAAGAAGCACUUUAACUGUAGAGACAGUCAAAGUGUACAUACCUUACUUAAUGGAAAACAUCAAGAACAUGUUCUCUCCUAUCAACCAUACACAUCUGACCAAGAACUAAUGAUUGUUUUGCAGACACCUGUAAUGAAAUCAAACAUGAAGAACUAUGCAAAACAGUUAGUAUUUGUUGACACCACGCAUUGUGUUAACCAGUAUUCAUUUCCCUUAUUCACACUUGUUGUAAGAGAUGAUCAUGGGCAUGGAGUCCCUGUGGCCUAUGCUAUUGUCAGCAACGAAAGUCAGAAAACCCUGGAAACUGUUCUUGGAAUAGUUUGUGAGCAUUUACCAACUUCCCCGAGAGCAUUUAUGGUUGACAAAGACUUUGCGGAAAUAAAUGCUUUGCAGAAGGUUUUUCCAGAGUCAGCUAUCCUUCUAUGCUGGUACCAUGUCUUGCAGGUAAACCACAUUGUUUUCUUUUCACGUUAUCUAAGAUGCACCUGAAACACAUUUGCCUCAUUGUGAUAUUCACCUACUCAGGUUAAUGAAUAUAAAGGGAUAAAAUGUUGAGUGACUAUGUCCAUCCAUUUAAGACCACUGUGCACUCAUCUUCUGGUGGCUGCUUCCCAAAGCUCUUUUUGACAUUUAAAAAUAUGUUUGCCUGG